Molecule: non-coding RNA, 22 nt
Filed under: Arabidopsis thaliana (thale cress)
Lineage: Eukaryota; Viridiplantae; Streptophyta; Magnoliopsida; Brassicales; Brassicaceae
Source: RNAcentral
UGUGCUUGUGACUUCUUCCGAC